AGAAACUUUACCGCUCAAAUUAGGGCUUUUCUUUUCUUUUCUUAUUCAGCAAAGCACAAAGUCCUCAAAGUUCAGUGCAACAAUGGCGAACGACGUAGACAUGAGUGGAUGGAGUGAGCUUCUUCAUUCUUCUUCGAAGCUUCUAGAACAGGCUGCUCCUUCAGCUCAGUUUCCUCCGCUUCAGAGGAAUUUGGAUCAAUUGGAAGCAUUAACAAAGAAAUUGAAGGCUAAAACUUUAAGAACUGAAGCUCCGACUCAAUCUAUUGCAGCAACUAGGCUACUAGCUCGUGAGGGUAUCAAUGCAGAGCAGCUUGCUCGUGAUCUCAAGUCUUUUGAGUUAAAGACGACAUUUGAAGACGUUUUUCCUGCGGAGGCAACAACUGUUGAAGAGUAUUUGCAACAGAUCCAUGAAAUGGCAAUGGUCUCUGCGGUUCAAGAAGCUCAGAAGGAUAACCUAAAAAAUUUCAAUGAUUACAUGAUGAAAGUUUUAGAGAACGACUGGAAGAAAGAAAAGAGAGACUUCCUCCAGAGCCUAAGCCGAAUUUCAACCUUACCUAGGACAAAUAUCAGUGAAUCAAGCCCUCUACGUGGUCGUCAGGGACAAAUAGCAUCUUUGACAUAUAGCCCUCAGAUUUCAUCUGGUCCUUCUAGCAUGGAGCCUUUAGCAUUAACUAAUAGGCCCAUCGUUGAGAAAAAAGCUGCUGCAUAUGGAGAAGUUGUCAAGAAUCUCACUAGUGCAAGAGAGCGUGGUUUACCCUUUAAACCUGCUACAGCUUUUAAGUGUGCUCUUGAGAGUUUGGGUCUUAAUGCAUCUGGUGGGAAGUCAGUUGGCAUUCAGAAGAUCUGGCAUCUAUUGUCGUCUCUGAUGGGUGAAGAUUCAGCUGUUCAACAUAAUGUUUCAAAGAAAAUGUCUUUAGUAAUUGGAGCUAGACGUCACCUAGAAUGGGGUCAUGAGAAGUACAUCAUGGAGACAAUUCAAGCCCAUCCUGCUCAGGCUGCACUUGGUGGUGCUGUUGGUAAUUUGCAGAGAAUCCGUGCCUUUCUCAGGAUCCGUCUAAGGGACUACGGGGUUCUUGAUUUUGAUGCGGCUGAUGCCCGUAGACAGCCUCCCGUUGAUACCACCUGGCAGCAGAUAUACUUUUGCAUGAGAACUGGCUACUUCAAUGAAGCAAGAGAGAUUUCCCAACAAUCUCGCAUGUCCCACCAGUUUGCACCUCUGCUUACAGAGUGGAUUUCCACUGGAGGCAUGGUAUCAGCAGAGAUGGCAGCGGUUGCUUCAGAAGAGUGUGAGAAGAUGUUUAGGUUGGGUGAUCGAGGAGGUCGACCCACGUAUGAUAAGAAAAAGUUGCUACUCUACACCAUAAUUUCUGGUUCUCGCAGGCAAAUUGACAGAUUUCUUCGAGAAUUCCCUACGCUUUUCUCUACUAUAGAGGAUUUCUUGUGGUUCCAAUUAUCUGCUGUACGUGAGUCCCCUGCCAGGUCUUCUGCUGUCCUUAGUGAGGGGUUGGCACCUUACACUUUGGAUGAUUUGCAAGCUUACCUAAACAAGUUUGAGUCAUCACACUAUACUAAGAAUGGAAAGGAUCCUUUGGUUUAUCCGUAUGUUUUACUUUUAAGCAUUCAACAUCUUCCAGCCGUCCUAUAUUUGUCCAAGGACAUGGGAGACGAGGGGUAUAAUGUAGAUGCUGUUCAUAUGGCUAUUGUCUUAGCGGACUAUGGGGUCCUCUCUGAAGGUACAUGGGUAGGUCAAAAAUUUGGGGUCAUGGAUGCUUUUGCUGAAGCCUCUAGUAUAAUUAGGCAGUAUGGAUCAUUUUACCUGCGUCAUGGUGAUCUGUUAAUGUCACUGGAGUACUAUGUGCAAGCUGCAGCAGCAGUGGGUGGUGGGCAGUUGUCGUGGAGUGGACGUGGUAAUAUUGAUCAGCAAAGGCAAAGGACUUCAAUGUUGAAACAACUUCUUACAGAGCUAUUGUCGCGGGAUGGUGGUAUUGAUAUUUUACUUGGUCCCAGGGGUACUGGGGAAGAAGGUCAACUUGGAAGGUUUUUGACUGAUGAAAAGACAAGACAACAAUUUCUGCUUGAAGCUGCUCGGCAGUAUCAGGAUGCGGGGCUCUAUGACAAGUCCAUCGAGAUUCAGAAGAGAGUGGGGGCAUUUUCAGCUGCAUUGGAUACGAUAAACAAGUGCCUUUCUGAUGCAAUAUGUGCCUUGGCACGUGGAAGGUUGGAUGGGGAAAGCCAGACUUCUGGGCUUAUUCUUUCAGGAAAUGAGAUCCUGGAGAUGUUCAAAUAUUACCCUGAGAUCAGUCCCCAAGAGAGAGAAAAUGUGUUGGCACAGCAAAUUGUUCUAAGACAGCUGGAGGCUGUGCUAUCCAUUCAUAAGCUUGCAAGACUUGGAAAUCACUUGGAUGCUAUAAAAGAAGUAGCGAAGCUCCCAUUCCUUCCUUUGGAUCCAAGGACGCCUGAUUUCGCAACGGAUAUCUUUCAAAAUUUGUCUCAUCAUGUCCAAGCUUGUGUACCUG
RNAcentral lists this unclassified non-coding RNA (2516 nucleotides) under Hevea brasiliensis (rubber tree). Lineage: Eukaryota; Viridiplantae; Streptophyta; Magnoliopsida; Malpighiales; Euphorbiaceae. The record is from RNAcentral.